RNAcentral lists this long non-coding RNA (1118 nucleotides) under Gossypium barbadense (sea-island cotton). RNAcentral's name for it is "long non-coding RNA (GBAR_LNC017103)". The record is from RNAcentral. Lineage: Eukaryota; Viridiplantae; Streptophyta; Magnoliopsida; Malvales; Malvaceae.
UCAUCUUUCUUUCCUCUUUUCCACGCAUAAGCCAUCCAUUUCUCCACUUCCCUUUAGCUGCCAUUUCCCUUGAGAAAAACUGAUACGAGCAGCUCGGCCCAAUUCAAAGGCCAGACUAGAGAUGGGCCUAGUUUCUCUCAAGGCCCAAUCACAAAAUCCAAAUCCAAGCAGUUAAAGUCAAGCCUCAACUUAUUCGUUCAACACUUUAUCACAAAAAAAUUUGAAAAGAAGAGUUGAAGCUUCAAGACGAUGGAUUUUGGAACAAUGAUGUAUUAGAAGGGAUUAAUUUUAUUAGUGGGCCUAAAAUCUCAAUCAAUGAUGACAAGCCAAUGUGGAGAAUGUUAACAAGCUUAGGCAUUUCACUUCAAAGACCCUAAUCAAUCCCACAAGCUUAGGCGUUUCAUAUUGGGUUCGGGUUUUAGGCUUAAUUUUUAUUAUACAUGAGCCCAAUAUUGUGUUUAUUAUCUCUUAUUAUUUUUUAUUACGAAUUUUUUUAUAAAUAUGAAGUAUUUUAAGUUAUUAGGAGUUUUAUGUUAAUAAGAAAGUUUUGUUUAAAACUACUUCUUGUUUAGAUUAAUUAGAGUUUUAGUAUACUUUAGAAUUUUAUUUGGAUGUACUUAGCUAGCCUAUAUAAAGGCUUCUUCAUUGUUCAUUAAAAAAACAAUUUUUUCCAUUAAUAAAGUUUUCAACACUAGGACAUUAUUUCUUUGAGCAAGAAUUCUUUCUUGUGAUUUUAGAAGUAGUUUUAUUCUCGAUUUUCUUUAAGGAGUCUUAGGAAUUCAUUCUUCACCCUUCAAUUUGCCAAGGAUUAUUUGUUAGAGGGUUGAUUAGAGUCAUUAAUUGAGUUUGUUGGGAUUUAUAUCUUAAAGGGUUCAAUUGGACAUUUGUCCUUCUAUCUAUCAUAUCCAUCGGUUUAUUCAAUCCAUAUUCCACUUUUAAAUUUCGUCUAUUUUUUUUCUUUGUUCUUAAAUUUCAUCUUUUACUAUUUUUGACUUUUUUAUUACUAAAUUUAUUUAUUUUUUCUUUUCAGAUCAGAUCCAAAUCUUUCCUUUUCGAGUCGAACAACUUGAAUUCAAUCCGCUUCCACCUUCAUUCUGUAUCAUUUGUUAUUAGAUUCG